UGGGGAAUUUUGGACAAUGGGCGAAAGCCUGAUCCAGCAAUGCCGCGUGUGUGAAGAAGGCCUUCGGGUUGUAAAGCACUUUUGUCCGGAAAGAAAUCCUUGGCUCUAAUACAGUCGGGGGAUGACGGUACCGGAAGAAUAAGCACCGGCUAACUACGUGCCAGCAGCCGCGGUAAUACGUAGGGUGCAAGCGUUAAUCGGAAUUACUGGGCGUAAAGCGUGCGCAGGCGGUUUGCUAAGACCGAUGUGAAAUCCCGGGCUCAACCUGGGAACUGCAUUGGUGACUGGCAGGCUAGAGUAUGGCAGAGGGGGGUAGAAUUCCACGUGUAGCAGUGAAAUGCGUAGAGAUGUGGAGGAAUACCGAUGGCGAAGGCAGCCCCCUGGGCCAAUACUGACGCUCAUGCGCGAAAGCGUGGGGAGCAAACAGGAUUAGAUACCCUGGUAGUCCACGCCCUAAACGAUGUCAACUAGUUGUUGGGGAUUCAUUUCCUUAGUAACGUAGCUAACGCGUGAAGUUGACCGCCUGGGGAGUACGGUCGCAAGAUUAAAACUCAAAGGAAUUGACGGGGUCAUGCGUUUCCU
This 582-nucleotide ribosomal RNA is filed under the name uncultured bacterium. RNAcentral's name for it is "partial 16S ribosomal RNA". It matches the Rfam family "Bacterial small subunit ribosomal RNA", at positions 355 to 931 of the family's 1533-position model. The record is from RNAcentral.